AGAGUUUGAUCCUGGCUCAGGAUGAACUCUGGCGGCGUGCUUAACACAUGCAAGUCGAACGAAGCACUUAAGAACGAUUCUUCGGAUGAAGUCUUUUGAGACUGAGUGGCGGACGGGUGAGUAACGCGUGGGUAACCUGCCUCACACAGGGGGAUAACAGUUGGAAACGACCGCUAAUACCGCAUAAGCCAACAGGGGCGCAUGCUCUGGUUGGAAAAGAUUUAUCGGUGUGAGAUGGACCCGCGUCUGAUUAGCCAGUUGGCAGGGUAACGGCCUACCAAAGCGACGAUCAGUAGCCGGCCUGAGAGGGUGAACGGCCACAUUGGGACUGAGAAACGGCCCAAACUCCUACGGGAGGCAGCAGUGGGGAAUAUUGCACAAUGGGGGAAACCCUGAUGCAGCGACGCCGCGUGAGUGAAGAAGUAUUUCGGUAUGUAAAGCUCUAUCAGCAGGGAAGAAAAUGACGGUACCUGACUAAGAAGCCCCGGCUAACUACGUGCCAGCAGCCGCGGUAAUACGUAGGGGGCAAGCGUUAUCCGGAUUUACUGGGUGUAAAGGGAGCGUCCACCGCCAUGCAAGUCAGAAGUGAAAGCCCGGGGCUCAACUCCGGGACUGCUUUUGAAACUGUGUAACUGGAGUGCAGGAGAGGUAAGCGGAAUUCCUAGUGUAGCGGUGAAAUGCGUAGAUAUUAGGAGGAACACCAGUGGCGAAGGCGGCUUACUGGACUGUAACUGACGUUGAGGCUCGAAAGCGUGGGGAGCAAACAGGAUUAGAUACCCUGGUAGUCCACGCCGUAAACGAUGA
RNAcentral lists this ribosomal RNA (804 nucleotides) under uncultured bacterium. Its description in RNAcentral is "bacterial SSU rRNA". It matches the Rfam family "Bacterial small subunit ribosomal RNA", at positions 8 to 812 of the family's 1533-position model. The record is from RNAcentral.